UGUUGUUAUUGUUGUUUAAAUCUUCCUGGAAGGCAGAAAGAAAGAGAUAAAAAGGAAAAAACAGCAUUUGUCACUUAUAGUGCUCUGGUUAGCACAGUAGCUGGGCCCCUGAACCCUCUACAGGCCUCCCAAGCUGGCACUGAAUAAAAUGUGAGAAAUGAAAGGAACUUUUCCGUGAGUCUGGCAGCGCCGACAGACACUGAGGUGGCAGAGCUGUCUGGUCCCAGUCCACAUGCAGAGGCCUGCAGCUCCUCCUUCCAGCCCGCACCCACCAGAGCUUCUCAGACGGGCCGUGUCCUGAGAAGGUUGUUGCCAAUGUAGAUGUUUGAGAGGCUCACUGAUGAACAAAUCAACAGAGCAGAUUUAAUCUGAAGAGAUCCAAAUAUUGUGCUUCUUUGGACUCAUAGAAAUGGCGAAAGAUUUAACAUCAGGAAGUACUUAAGUCAGCUAAUUUCUAGAGCCUUCUUCCUCCCUGUCACUUGAUUCUAGAUAGGAUCACCAGUUAGACAUCAGAACCAGAUCUUUUUAUCCAGAGAAGUACCAGUUUGUUGUUUUUCCUUCCGAAGCCAAGUCCUCGAGUUUCAGGUAGACUUCAGUUGAUUUCUGCGAGGUCUUUGCUUUCUCUCUGCCAGAAUAAUCACUGCUGAGGAAAGCAAAAAGCCCCGAAGAGCCUGGCUUGGAAUAAAAACAUGCACCAUACAAGAUUUUUAUGAAGAUUAAAUAACUUGGGCUAAAAUAUUCUGGAAGCUGCCAAGGGCUCUACAGAUGAGCUAUACAGAGGCAUUUGCUGAAAACUGGCCUGGAUUGACAAGCGCAAUGCAAACGUGGCUGCGGCAGUUCCAGGCAUCACAUGGUAACAAGAUCACAUCCAGUGAAGAAGGAAUUCUCAUAAGACAGUCAGCAGAUUUUGCAGGUGAAGAUACACAAAGGAUAGAUCAAGGUCAUGAUUUAAUGCAGAUGGCUGAAUUAUGACCAAAAAAACAUCCAUAGUCAGCUCCAGUCAUAUUUCUGACCUGAGGCUGGGCUUAAGGUCUACACAGCUGGAAACAUCCAUUUCUGAUGCCAGCUACAUCAUUCCCUGAUGAGAACAGUGCCAGCAGUGAACCCCUCACCACUCCCCACACCCAACCCCCACCUCAGUGUCCCCAGGGUAUUAUCAGUUGUGUCAGCCUAGAGUCUCUGAGUUUGGUCUGGCUCUGCCCCUCCCCCAUCCGUUUAGAAAGAAUCUAUUUCUGUUUCUCUCUCUCUCUCUCUCUCAUGCCUCAAUCUCAUGUCCUCCUGCUGACUCUAAAGAGACAGCUGAUUGUGGGAAAGAUUUAAAUUGGGUUAUUCUCUCUUAAUAUAAUUUUUGUAAAAUACUAUAAAUGAAUUUCUUCAUGGCCGCCAAAGAGAAGUGCUGCUAUUUCUAGCACCAGACUGACAGGAAUGGUGCCUGUUAGGAUUAAGUUAAGCUGCAAUGGGAACAUUAAAUAUGGCUUAAACAA
This 1484-nucleotide long non-coding RNA is filed under the name Homo sapiens (human). RNAcentral's name for it is "HSALNT0319774". The record is from RNAcentral. Lineage: Eukaryota; Metazoa; Chordata; Mammalia; Primates; Hominidae.